RNAcentral lists this ribosomal RNA (871 nucleotides) under uncultured archaeon. RNAcentral's name for it is "bacterial SSU rRNA". It matches the Rfam family "Archaeal small subunit ribosomal RNA", at positions 7 to 885 of the family's 1478-position model. The record is from RNAcentral.
GUUGAUUCUGCCGGAGGCCACUGCUAUCAGAGUUCGAUUAAGCCAUGCGAGUCGAGAGGUGCAAGACCUCGGCAUACUGCUCAGUAACACGUGGACAACCUACCCUGUGGAAGGGGAUAACCCCGGGAAACUGGGGAUAAUACCCUAUAGACUAUAGAUGCUGGAAUGCUCUGUAGCCGAAAGGUCCGCCGCCACAGGAUGGGUCUGCGGCCGAUUAGGUUGUUGUUGGGGUAACGACCCAACAAGCCUGUAAUCGGUACGGGUUGUGAGAGCAAGAGCCCGGAGAUGGAUUCUGAGACACGAAUCCAGGCCCUACGGGGCGCAGCAGGCGCGAAAACUUUACAAUGCGGGAAACCGUGAUAAGGGAACUCCGAGUGCCCGUAAAAUCGGGCUGUCCACCAGUUUAAAUAACUGGUGAAGAAAGGGCCGGGCAAGACCGGUGCCAGCCGCCGCGGGUAAUACCGGCGGCUCGAGUGGUGGCCACUAUUACUGGGCUUAAAGCGUUCGUAGCUGGUCUGUUAAGUCUCUGGGGAAAUCUGCUGGCUUAACCAACAGGCGUCUCAGGGAUACUGGCAGACUAGGGACCGGGAGAGGUGAGAGGUACUCCAGGGGUAGGAGUGAAAUCCUGUAAUCCUUGGGGGACCACCUGUGGCGAAGGCGCCUCACCAGGACGGCUCCGACAGUGAGGGACGAAAGCUGGGGGAGCAAACCGGAUUAGAUACCCGGGUAGUCCCAGCCGUAAACGAUGUGCGUUAGGUGUAUCGGUGACCACGAGUCACCGAGGUGCCGAAGAGAAAUCGUGAAACGUACCGCCUGGGAAGUACGGUCGCAAGGCUGAAACUUAAAGGAAUUGGCGGGGGAGCACCACAAC